Long non-coding RNA from Platichthys flesus (European flounder), 641 nucleotides. RefSeq lists it as uncharacterized. Lineage: Eukaryota; Metazoa; Chordata; Actinopteri; Pleuronectiformes; Pleuronectidae. The transcript is spliced from 4 exons. The record is from RefSeq and is a predicted model, not a curated record.
AUGAGGGUUGCUAUGACGCUGCCAUGCCAGCACGGCGCAGCGUGCUGUUAAAAUCACCGUCCCUGCGUGGUGUCCCUCAGUGAUCGUGAAUGUUAUUCACGUUAUAUAAUAUUAAUAUUUGAGGCUAGAUUACACCUCUAAUGCGAAGGAUCCUGCGAGACCGUUCAUCCCGAAGGGGGACCGACUGCGCCACGGACGGACCAGGCGAGCGGAACUGGCGUGUGGCUUUUAGUAAACAUCCGGUUCUUUAACUCGGGGCUGCGUAGUAACCACCGAGCGCUGGGAAGACAAACGAUGUCAUCUUCCUUCUGUCAGGACGAUCCAAGUGAAGGUACAGGAGUUUCAUUAACGUCAAUAACUUGGACCGAACACUUUGCUUUGCUUGAUGAAGAGCAGGAAGGGCAGCCUGGAGAGAAAGAGAAGCCGGGUUGAGCCCACUACCAUCAUCCACGUACCACGAGGAAGAUGCGGGAGAGAAAUGAUCCUACCAUUAAAGAGACUGUGAAAAGAGCGUUGCGAACAUCACCAAUCUACAGGAAGACACAGUCCAGUAAUGGGUGUCAGAAGUUCAGUAGUGAAUGACAGGAAGGACUGAUGCAUGUACUGAGACGGGACGUGAGGGCCUACUCUGCGUGCUCAGA